This 198-nucleotide unclassified non-coding RNA is filed under the name uncultured Russula. Its description in RNAcentral is "sequence contains ITS1". Lineage: Eukaryota; Fungi; Basidiomycota; Agaricomycetes; Russulales; Russulaceae. The record is from RNAcentral.
UCGUAUAACGGGUGCCAGGGCUGUCGCUAACUUUGUGCACGCCCUGGUGCUCUCUUACAAUCCAUCUCACCCCUUUGUGCAUCACCGCGUGGGUGCUCUCCUUUUGGUUCAUUCUGAAAGAGGGGGCAUUUGCGCUUUUAUAUAGACUCACUGUAUGUGUAGAAUGUCUUUACUAUUUGCGAUAAUAUGCAAUUAAUA